This 722-nucleotide ribosomal RNA is filed under the name Pantoea stewartii. RNAcentral describes it as "bacterial SSU rRNA". It matches the Rfam family "Bacterial small subunit ribosomal RNA", at positions 41 to 751 of the family's 1533-position model. Lineage: Bacteria; Pseudomonadati; Pseudomonadota; Gammaproteobacteria; Enterobacterales; Erwiniaceae. The record is from RNAcentral.
GGCAGGCCUAACACAUGCAAGUCGGACGGUAGCACAGAGGAGCUUGCUCCUCGGGUGACGAGUGGCGGACGGGUGAGUAAUGUCUGGGAAACUGCCCGAUGGAGGGGGAUAACUACUGGAAACGGUAGCUAAUACCGCAUAACGUCGCAAGACCAAAGUGGGGGACCUCCGGGCCUCACACCAUCGGAUGUGCCCAGAUGGGAUUAGCUUGUAGGCGGGGUAACGGCCCACCUAGGCGACGAUCCCUAGCUGGUCUGAGAGGAUGACCAGCCACACUGGAACUGAGACACGGUCCAGACUCCUACGGGAGGCAGCAGUGGGGAAUAUUGCACAAUGGGCGCAAGCCUGAUGCAGCCAUGCCGCGUGUAUGAAGAAGGCCUUCGGGUUGUAAAGUACUUUCAGCGGGGAGGAAGGUGUUGAGGUUAAUAACCUCAGCAAUUGACGUUACCCGCAGAAGAAGCACCGGCUAACUCCGUGCCAGCAGCCGCGGUAAUACGGAGGGUGCAAGCGUUAAUCGGAAUUACUGGGCGUAAAGCGCACGCAGGCGGUCUGUUAAGUCAGAUGUGAAAUCCCCGGGCUUAACCUGGGAACUGCAUUUGAAACUGGCAGGCUUGAGUCUCGUAGAGGGGGGUAGAAUUCCAGGUGUAGCGGUGAAAUGCGUAGAGAUCUGGAGGAAUACCCGGUGGCGAAGGCGGCCCCCUGGACGAAGACUGACGCUCAGG